Molecule: long non-coding RNA, 1742 nt
Organism: Mus musculus (house mouse)
Lineage: Eukaryota; Metazoa; Chordata; Mammalia; Rodentia; Muridae
Product: predicted gene, 40692
Exons: 3
Source: RefSeq, a predicted model, not a curated record
GCUGAGAAUCGAACCCUGGUCCUCUGCAAGAGCCACAAGUAUUUGUAAUCACUGGGCGAACUCUUCAGACCCAAUUUUGGUUAUUUUAAAAGCCAAAUACUGUUCUGUUGUAUAAACAAAGCAUGUUUUCAUUAUCCACUCAUUGGUUUAUGGGGGUGUAGGUUGUUUCUGUUUGCUGGCCAUUGUGAAAAAAAUCAGCAAAGAACACAUAUGGUCAGUUGUUUCUAUGGUAGGAUGCAGAGUCCUUUGGGUAUGUGCCUAAGAGUAAUAUAGAGCCAGAUUGUAUGGUAUAUCUAUUUCUAGCCUUCUAGGGAACGGCCACACUGAUUUCCAUAGUGGCUGCACCCAGUUUGUACUCCUACCAGCCUUACAUCCACACUAACAUUCAUCAUCAUCGUUUUUAUUUUCUCUCUCUUAGCCAUCAUGACGGGAGUAAGUUGAAAUCCCAAGGUAAUCUUAAUAUGCAUUUCCCAAUAGCCUAGGAUCUUGAAAGUGUUUUAAAAUACUUCUCGGCCAUUUGUAUCUCAUCUUUUGAGAACUCCCUGAUUAGUUCCUGGCUUCAUUUUUUAAACCUGGAUUGUCUUCUUGAGGUUUUUUUUUGGGGGGGGGGGUUCUCUGUAUAGUUUAGCUAUGACUGGUAUAGCUAGUGAGUAAUUUUUCCCAAUUCUAUAGACUGCUCCUUUACUUGAAUAGUGGUUUUCUUGGCAGUAUAGAAGCUUUGUAGUUGCAUGAGGUCCCAUUUCUUAAUGAUUGGUCUGAAUGUCUGCACAGUCAGUGUCCUGUGCCCGUGAGUUCAAGGAUAGCCCUUUCUGUCAGAUUCAGUGUAUCAGGUCUUUCGUUUAUAGCCCUUGGACCAUUUGGAGUUAAGUUUUGUGUGGAGUGUGUGUGUGUGAAAUAAGGUUAUAUAUAGUUCCAUUAGCAGCAUAUUGAUGUUGAUGUCUUUUCUCCAAUGUGUAUUUUAGGCUUUUGUUGUUGUUGUUGUUGUUGUUGUUGUCAAAAAUCAGAUGACUCUAAGAACCUGUGCUUAUAUAUGGGUUCUCAUUUCUGUUUCAUCAGCCAAUGUGUCUGGUUUUAUGCCCGUGCAAAUGUGGUUUUUAUUACUAUAGCUCUAUACUAUAAUCUCUGGAGAGUUCAGAAAUGAUCAGGUCAGUGCGUCUGCUGGGAUCCAUACUAUCUCAGGCAAAGGCCAAAGAGAUCUGCCACACUUAGAAGCCCAGACCAGCCCCGUGGGAAGUGGCACAAGGAACCUGUAACCCACCUUGCCUGCCCUGUGGGGCUGAGCUCAUGGCCAUUCUACAGGCUUCCGGGGAGACAUUGCACAGGGCCCAGCCCCGCCUCCCCGGCUCCUCACAGCUAUUCAUUCUCUUCUCCCAACUGACUUCCAAUUUUGCUGGCAGCCAGCUGCUUCCCUCGAGACCCAUGGCUGCCCUCUACGCUUGCUGUAAUAACACGUGUGUGUGUGCAAGUGCACAUGGAGGACAGAAGCCUCCGUUCUCUGGAGCUGGCGUUGCAGACGGUGUGUGCUCUCUGAUGUCGGGUCUGGGAUCUGAACUCAGGUCCUCUGGAAAAACAGCAGGUGCCGCGAGCGCUGCAGGUUACCGUGCAGACAUGGCCAGGUCCAAGAACCAUAGAACCAGUCCCAAAAAUGGCUCAGAAAUGGCGUCAAGAAGCACACACCUUUAAUCCCAGCACUUGGGAGGCAGACGCAGGCAGAUUUCUGAGUUCGAGGCCAGCCUGGUCUA